RNAcentral lists this small nuclear RNA (325 nucleotides) under Jaculus jaculus (lesser Egyptian jerboa). Its description in RNAcentral is "7SK RNA (ENSJJAG00000004244.1)". It matches the Rfam family "7SK RNA". Rfam says of the family: 7SK was discovered as an abundant small nuclear RNA in the mid-70s but a possible function has only recently been suggested. Two independent studies have found that 7SK RNA binds the CDK9/cyclin T complex (known as elongation factor P-TEFb). Lineage: Eukaryota; Metazoa; Chordata; Mammalia; Rodentia; Dipodidae. The record is from Rfam by way of RNAcentral.
GGAUGUGAAGGAGGUUUGUUGGAAACAUCUGUCACCCAGUGGUGGCCAGGGGCAAUUCCAUUGAUCUUGCUGGCUAGGCAGGUGUCUCUUUCCUCCCUCCUCUGCUCCACAUGCACCACUCCUGAAGCUGCACAUUCAGUGGGAGAAGAUAACCUUUCCCAUAGAGGAGGACCAGGCUUUGGUCCAGGGCAUACUAGUAGCUGUACUCCGUUUGUUAAGACCUCCAAACAAGUGUUAUAAUCUUUUCUGAUGAUCCUACAAGGAUUUGUGGUACUUUUCAACAUACAACUCUCAAAGUUAUUAGAUGCUAAAUCUUCUCUCAUUG